RNAcentral lists this long non-coding RNA (2258 nucleotides) under Lynx pardinus (Iberian lynx). The record is from RNAcentral. Lineage: Eukaryota; Metazoa; Chordata; Mammalia; Carnivora; Felidae.
GCCUGCAUGCCCUGCCCAGCACCUGUUCAGAGGGGAGGCUGAGCUGCACAGACCUGCCUUGCCCAGGUACGUAUGUCCCAGCUCAGGGGGAGGUGAGGAAAAGCGGCCAGGGUCACAGUGAGGGCUGGGACUGGGGAAGGGAUGUCUGUGCCCCAGUGCCCUUCCAUUGUCCCCUGCCGCAGUGCCUGGUGGCUGGUGCCCAUGGUCGGAGUGGACGCCAUGCUCCCAGCCCUGCAGGGGCCAGACGAGGACCCGCUCCAGGGCCUGCGCUUGCCCCGCCCCUCAGCACGGGGGCGCCCCGUGUCCCGGGGAAGCAGGGGAGGCAGGGGCCCAGCAUCAGAAGGAGACCUGCCCCAGCUCACCCGAGUGCCCAGGUGAGAUGCCCCCACUUGUCUGCUCAAAUCUCAAUAGGCCGGGCACCUCCUAGGCCUCCUAGGGCAGUUGAUGCUGUCUUCCCGGCACAGUGGACGGAGCCUGGAGCCCAUGGGGACUGUGGUCUUCCUGUGACGCGUGCCUGGGGCAGUCCCAUCGGAGCCGGGUGUGUAUCUGGCCCCCCACCCCUGAGGGAGGCAGGCCCUGCCCUGGGGGCCACAGGCAGAGUCGCCCCUGCCAGGACAAUUCCACAAAAUGCACAGGUGAGGGCUUCUGUAGAGGUCGGGGAGGGUCCCUUGGAAGGCUUGGGAGACAUGGCCUCUGGCCUUUGUCCCCAGUAUACGCAUGCAUGUCACUUUCUUUGAGAGGCAGCAUUUAGAUCCCUUACCUUGUGGUCCUGGGACGAGGUGGAAAGUCAGGCGGCUGGGGGUGGUGAGGCAGGAGGGCUUGUCCCCUGAGUCCUGGGAUCCUGCAGGAUGGGCCCCUGCUCAGCGUCUGCCCUCUCUGCUUCCUUCCCGUCACAGAGUGUGGGGGUGGCCAGGGUCUUCUCCCCUGUGGGCGGCCCUGUCCCCGCUCCUGUCAGGACCUGUCUCCCGGGAGUGCGUGCCAGCCGGGCUCGACGGGCUGCCAGCCCAGCUGCGGGUGCCCCCCUGGCCGGCUGUUCCAGGACGGCCUCUGUGUGCCUCCUGCCCUCUGCCGCUGCCAGUACCAGCCUGGAGCCAUGGGUCAGUGCUUCCCUCCGUGCUCUCCCCAUUUCUCCCGAGCACCGCGGUGCCCGCCGGCCUGGCCUCUGCCUGUCUGGCUCCGGAGCCCAGCCUGGGCUGCAGGAUGUCGCUCCAGGCGUUAGUGUCUCGUGCAUCCCCCCGCAUCCCUGCUCCAGGCUGGGGCUUCCACCUCCCAGGCCCAGGAUCUGGGGCACCGUGGGGUGUAGGCUGAUAGAGAGGGAGGUAGAAGGCAGUGGGAUAGGAGGAAGGGUUGAGGGUGCGGGGCCCGCUGAGCUGUCUGGGGUCCCACCCCGACCCGUGCCCUCAGGGAUCCCUGAGAACCAGAGCCGGUCAGCAGGGCCUGGGCUCAGCUCCUGGGAGAGCCUGGAACCCGGAGAGAUGGUGACCGGGCCCUGUGACAACUGGUGAGUCAAGAGGAGCAGGGAGGGGGUGGGCUGCAGAGCCGGGCAGUGGGGGCUCUUGUGGGAGUUGGCCAGGGUGCUGUCUUCUGAGGCCCCCUCCCUUGUCCCCAGCACCUGUAUGGAGGGCGUCCUGCAGUGCCAGGAGGUGCCCAGCUGCCCUGGGCCUGGGGUGUGGGGCUCCUGGGGCCCCUGGGAGGACUGCAGUGUUUCUUGCGGGGGAGGGGAGCAGCUCCGCUCCCGGAGGUGUGCCCGGCCCCCCUGCCCUGGGCCUGCCCGCCAGAGCCGCACCUGCCGCACCCAGGUCUGCAGAGGUGAGCCCCGACCGGGGUCUGCCCUUGACGGAUUCCCAUGUUGGCCUCUGAUGCUGACUCAUAGGUGCCUUUGACCUCUUCCGUCCCAUCCCCCCACACUGCCCUUUCCCGGGGCCAGUGAUGGGCAUGUGGAGGAGGAAGUAGCCAGAUUCAGGGAGGGUGUGGGUGGUGUGGGAGGGUGUGACAUUGGCCCUGAGGGGCACAACCCAGGGAAGGUAUUGUCUGCACAACUGGGGAGCUGUGGGAAGGUGGGUACUGGGGUGAGUAAGCAGGCCGCGGGGUGAGCACAGAAGUAGCCAUUGAGGGCAGUGCAGGCCAGAGCUGGGCACUGACCCGAGUGUUGUCACAGAGGCUGGCUGCCCGGCUGGACGUUUGUACCGGGAAUGCCGGCCCGGCGAGGGGUGUCCCUUCUCCUGUGCUCACGUCACUCGCCAGGUGGGCUGCUUCUC